UUACGGGAGGCAGCAAGCGGGAAUAUUGCACAAUGGGCGAAAGCCUGAUGCAGCGAUGCCGCGUGAGGGAUGAAGGCCUUCGGGUUGUAAACCUCUGUUGAUGGGGACGAAGAUCUGACGGUACCCAUCGAGGAAGCUCCGGCUAACUCCGUGCCAGCAGCCGCGGUAAGACGGAGGGAGCAAGCGUUGUCCGGAUUUACUGGGCGUAAAGCGCGCGUAGGCGGCUUGUUAAGUCGGCUGUGAAAUCGCUGGGCUCAACCCAGCAAUUGCAGUCGAUACUGGCAGGCUCGAGUCCGGGAGAGGGAAGCGGAAUUCCUGGUGUAGCGGUGGAAUGCGUAGAUAUCAGGAAGAACACCGGUGGCGAAGGCGGCUUCCUGGACCGGUACUGACGCUGAGGCGCGAAAGCUAGGGGAGCGAACGGGAUUAGAUACCCCGGUAGG
RNAcentral lists this ribosomal RNA (440 nucleotides) under uncultured bacterium. Its description in RNAcentral is "bacterial SSU rRNA". It matches the Rfam family "Bacterial small subunit ribosomal RNA", at positions 339 to 794 of the family's 1533-position model. The record is from RNAcentral.